This 263-nucleotide long non-coding RNA is filed under the name Vitis vinifera (wine grape). Its description in RNAcentral is "long non-coding RNA (VVIN_LNC005059)". The record is from RNAcentral. Lineage: Eukaryota; Viridiplantae; Streptophyta; Magnoliopsida; Vitales; Vitaceae.
AUAAUUUAUACAUGUGUAUAAAAUUUGCAGCACUAUAUAAGGGUAUUACACCAAAUGUUCAAGGGAAAUGUACUAAUUGUACAAGAGGUGUAUAAGACUGUUAUUUUGUAAAGGAUUUUAAUAAAUUUGGAACCAUUUUUUUUUUUUGCUUGUUACCCAAAGCUUGCACACUCUUAUGUCACACACUCCUUUAUCACACACCCAUCUCAUGUACUUUAUUUCAGUCACAUAUGACAAUUCAAAUAUUUAUCCUACUAAUGAUA